Molecule: ribosomal RNA, 1031 nt
Filed under: Scolytoplatypus sinensis
Lineage: Eukaryota; Metazoa; Arthropoda; Insecta; Coleoptera; Curculionidae
Description: 16S ribosomal RNA
Source: RNAcentral
GGUUUAUUAAAUUUUUAUUUAGUAUUUUUAAGUAUUCUCGAAUUUAAUAAGAGCUAUAAGAUUAAAUUGGUAUAUGUAGAAAAAUAUUAUUUAAUAAAUUUAUAGAAACGAAAAGUUACUCUAUUUUAAAUAUAUCUAGUUUUUUAAGAAAUUAAUUUAAUUAAAUUUUUUAUAUAAAAAAAUUUUAUUUAUUAAAAUUUUGUUUUUUAAAAGUUAUAAUAAAAGGGCUAAUCUUUUUAUUAGAUAUAAUAUAAUUUAAAGGUUUAAAUUGAUUUAAUAAAUAGAAUUAAAAGUUUUUAUUAAUAAAGAGUUAUAUCUAAUUUAUUUUUAUAUUAGAAUUUAUAUAAGGAUUUAUUUUUUUUUAUUAAAAAAUAAAAUUUAAUUGGGGUUUUUUAUUUAAAAUGAUAAAAUUAGUAUAAUAUAAAUUUUUAUAGAAAUUUGUGAUUUUUGAUUAAAGGUCAAUAAAAAGAAUUAGGCAAAUAAAUUUUCACCUGUUUAUUAAAAACAUGUCCUUUUGAUGUUUUAUAUAAGGUCUAGUCUGCUCCAUGAUUGAUAGUUAAAUAGCCGCAGUAUUUUGACUGUGCUAAGGUAGCAUAAUCAAUAGUUUAUUAAUUGUAAGCUUGAAUGAAGGAUUGGAUGAGAAAUUAACUAUUUUAAGUUGAAUUAGUUAGAAAUUUAUUUUUAAGUGAAAAAGCUUAAAUAUUUAUAAAAGACAAGAAGACCCUAUAGAGUUUUAUAAAAAUUUUAAUUUUUAUAAUUAAUGUGUUUACAUUUUAUGGUUAAAAUUAUAAUUGAUUGGGGUGAUUAAUAAAUUUAAUUAAUUUUAUUAUUUAAGUUUACAUUUUUAUAUGAAAAUUUUGAUCCUUAUAAGAAGAUUAAUAGAAAAAAUUACCUUAGGGAUAACAGCGUAAUUUUUUUUUAGAGUUCAGAUUAAAAAAAAAGUUUGCGACCUCGAUGUUGGAUUAAGAUUAAUUUAUUGGUGUAGGAGCUAUAAAAUUGGGUCUGUUCGACCUUUAAAAUCUUACAUGAUC